Molecule: ribosomal RNA, 253 nt
Filed under: uncultured bacterium
Lineage: Bacteria
Description: partial 16S ribosomal RNA
Rfam family: Bacterial small subunit ribosomal RNA
Source: RNAcentral
UACGGAGGGUGCAAGCGUUGUCCGGAUUUAUUGGGUUUAAAGGGUGCGUAGGUGGCCUGUUAAGUCCGGGGUGAAAGCCCACAGCUCAACUGUGGAACUGCCAUGGAUACUGAUGGGCUUGAGUACAGACGAGGUAGGCGGAAUGGAUGCUGUAGCGGUGAAAUGCAUAGAUAGCAUCCAGAACCCCGAUUGCGUAGGCAGCUUACUAGGCUGUAACUGACGCUGAGGCACGAAAGCGUGGGGAGCGAACAGG